This 386-nucleotide unclassified non-coding RNA is filed under the name Hevea brasiliensis (rubber tree). The record is from RNAcentral. Lineage: Eukaryota; Viridiplantae; Streptophyta; Magnoliopsida; Malpighiales; Euphorbiaceae.
AGAGAGAGAGAGAGAGAGAGGACGUAUUUCAAUUAUAUCUGAUGGAUCUUUUAAUUUUAGUGAAUUAGUCCGUAAAUUACUACAUUUGUUUUUCUAUCAAUGGGUUUGGAGUGUGUUCCCAUGUUAAUCUGGCGUUAAAAUGGAAGGUAAAUGUAGAUAUAACUUGUUGACUAGAAGAAGUGGCCGUCUUUUGAGCACCAAGAACCGUCAAAUGGUGGCAUUUUGCACAAUUAUCUCUCAUGAAAUUGCUUAAAUUGCCAUAUGCAAUUCACAUUUUGCAUUUGCAAAAUGAUAUUGUUUGGUUAUCAUGAGUGGCUUUUUAUCCAAAUUAGUCACUUUUGUUUAUGUUAGAAGUCCAUUUUAGCGCCACUUCCAAAUGGCUCAUU